This 472-nucleotide ribosomal RNA is filed under the name uncultured bacterium. RNAcentral's name for it is "bacterial SSU rRNA". It matches the Rfam family "Bacterial small subunit ribosomal RNA", at positions 355 to 825 of the family's 1533-position model. The record is from RNAcentral.
UGGGGAAUAUUGGACAAUGGGCGAAAGCCUGAUCCAGCCAUGCCGCGUGUGUGAAGAAGGUCUUCGGAUUGUAAAGCACUUUAAGUUGGGAGGAAGGGCAGUUACCUAAUACGUGAUUGUUUUGACGUUACCGACAGAAUAAGCACCGGCUAACUCUGUGCCAGCAGCCGCGGUAAUACAGAGGGUGCAAGCGUUAAUCGGAAUUACUGGGCGUAAAGCGCGCGUAGGUGGUUAGUUAAGUUGGAUGUGAAAUCCCCGGGCUCAACCUGGGAACUGCAUUCAAAACUGACUGACUAGAGUAUGGUAGAGGGUGGUGGAAUUUCCGGUGUAGCGGUGAAAUGCGUAGAUAUCAAGAGGAACACCUGAGGCGAAGGCGGGUUGCUGGGCUGAUACUGACGCUGAGGCGCGAAAGCUAGGGUAGCAAACGGGAUUAGAUACCCUAGUAGUCCCUGAGCGGGCUGGCAAGGCGCAU